UGAGAGCUCUGCAGUCUCUGGGCGAAAAAAAGCUUUUUUUGUGAGUGGUCAGGCAGGGAACACUGACACUGGAGCGCGCAUGCACGAGACGACUCCAUGUUUUUCUUUCUCUCUUUGAACGAAUACAACGUCGCCCGGUUGGAAUAUUAUCGCUAUUUUACGAGAAAAAUCGCAGAAAAAUGGAUUUUAAACAGCGUUUGACAUGCUUCGAAGUACGGUAAUGGAAUAUUUUGAAUUUUUGUCACGAAAUGCGCCCGCGCGUCACCCUUCGGAUACUGACCUCAACGCACGAACAAAACGGAGCUAUUUCAAUAUAACUAUGGAUUAUUUCGAACCAAAACAACAUUUGUUGUUGAAGUAGAAGUCCUGGGAGUGCAUUCUGACGAAGAACAGCAAAGGCUGUAAAGCAUCUCAACUGACAAUUGGAGACAUUUUAAGUAUUCUUUAUCGGCUACAGGGAACUGAACCUGGAGGCUGUGGACCAAAGGCAUCAUGGAAAAAGCAAGGCUGCACUUCUCGCACACAAACCCCAAGGGCUCCAAGUCCCUGGAGAAUUGUAGAAUGCUGGGGAAAGGAGGGUACAUUACAUAAGUACAGUUGCGGCCAAAUAUAUUGGCAACCUUAGACUUUCCUUAAAUAACCUCACUUGGGAUUUGAACUCACAACCUCUCAGUUGCCAGUGACCUGAAUUUCCUGCUACACCACUGGCUUUGUGGGUUUGAUUAAGAUUGUUAAAAGAUUAGAACGAAUAGACAUUGUGAUUUGUCCCUAUGGGGGUACACUUUUGGGUGCCACGUAGAACACUUAGAUACUUUUUUUUUAUCCUGUAGGGGAAUAAUUUGGGAUAUACACAGAACCCUGUCAUGAAAAACCCUCUGGUUACAGAGUUAUGCAAUUUGUCCCUGUGGGGGAACCCUUAUGUGUGCCAUGUAGAACCCUUUGAUUUGUCCCUGUAGGGGAACCCUUUUGAGUUUUAUUUAGAACCCGAUCAUUAAGAACCCUCUGGUUCCAGGUAGAAGUAAUAACAGCUUCUAUUGUUAUGCUCAUAGGAUACUUCAUAUGUGCUUAUGGCACACAGUUAAAAAUUACCUGUAAAAUGACAUGUUGUUUACCUUACAUGCACUGCACUUUGUUUGAAAUGAAGGUGAGGGCAAUGUGCUGGUGGGGGCUCAUUAGCAUAUUUGGGGCCAUGGUCUAAAAUAUGUUGUAUUAGUGCCAACCAUUAGUGGAAGUGUUGAACCACUUUAAUUUUAUUGUUAUGUUGAUGAAGGUUGAGGGCUACAGCGAGGCGCAACGGUGGUAUGUACUGGGAGUUGCUGGUGCCGCUGCUGCUGCACAUUUGUCCACGCCCAGUGCAUACCACCAUUGCUCCUCGCCUUUGCCCUCGACCUUCAUCAACAUAACAAUAUGCUGAAAGGUGCAUACACUGCCACCUAUGGUACUGGAACAGAACAGCUACCACUAACUGUAUCGCCCUGGCCAUAGAGAGGGUUUUUUUGUUCUUUAUUUUGGUUAGGCCAGGGUGUUACAUUGGGUGGGCGUUCCAUGUUCCUUUUUCUAUGUUUUUGUAUUUCUUUGUUUUGGGCCGUGUGUGGCUCCCAAUCAGGCACAGCUGAAACUCGUUGUUGCUGAUUGGGAGUCACACAUAAGGAGCAUGUUUUUCCUUUGGGUUUUGUGGGUAAUUGUUUCUGUUAGUGUUUGCACCGGACAUGACUGUUGGCUGUC
RNAcentral lists this long non-coding RNA (1725 nucleotides) under Salmo salar (Atlantic salmon). Its description in RNAcentral is "lncRNA (ENSSSAG00000082986.1)". Lineage: Eukaryota; Metazoa; Chordata; Actinopteri; Salmoniformes; Salmonidae. The record is from RNAcentral.